UACGUAGGGUGCGAGCGUUGUUCGGAAUUACUGGGCGUAAAGCGCGCGCAGGCGGUCCUUCAAGUCAGAGGUGAAAGCCCAGAGCUCAACUCUGGAACGGCCUUUGAGACUAGAGGACUUGGGUACGGGAGAGGUGAGUGGAAUUCCGAGUGUAGAGGUGAAAUUCGUAGAUAUUCGGAAGAACACCAGUGGCGAAGGCGGCUCACUGGCCCGUUACCGACGCUCAGGCGCGACAGCGUGGGGAGCAAACAGG
This 253-nucleotide unclassified non-coding RNA is filed under the name uncultured Alphaproteobacteria bacterium. RNAcentral's name for it is "contains 16S-23S intergenic spacer region". It matches the Rfam family "Bacterial small subunit ribosomal RNA", at positions 524 to 776 of the family's 1533-position model. The record is from RNAcentral. Lineage: Bacteria; Pseudomonadati; Pseudomonadota; Alphaproteobacteria.